Molecule: ribosomal RNA, 373 nt
Filed under: uncultured eukaryote
Lineage: Eukaryota
Description: partial 18S ribosomal RNA
Rfam family: Eukaryotic small subunit ribosomal RNA
Source: RNAcentral
UGUAAGCGUAUACCAAAGUUGUUGCAGUUAAAAAGCUCGUAGUUGAAUUUUUGCUUGCCGCCGAUGUCGGAACUUCCGUACGUUCGGCGGCGUGCAUCCUUGGGUGGAACCUGUGUGGCAUUAGGUUGUCGUGCAGGGGAUGCUCAUCGUUUACUGUGAAAAAAUUAGAGUGUUCAAAGCAGGCUUACGCCGUUGAAUAUAUUAGCAUGGAAUAAUAAGAUAGGACCUUGGUACUAUUUUGUUGGUUUGCGCACCGAGGUAAUGAUUAACAGGGACAGUUGGGGGUAUUCGUAUUCCAUUGUCAGAGGUGAAAUUCUUGGAUUUCUGGAAGACGAACUACUGCGAAAGCAUUUACCAAGGAUGUUUUCAUUAA